UGCUGGUUUCCCUACUUCAGCUGGCAGUUAGCAAUAGGGCUGAUUUGUUUCCUUUGCCUCCAAGGGGGCAGGGAGCAAUGUUUUGCUGCUGCAGCACAGGGCCUCCCACGCUUACCCUUGUGUUCCUGCUGCUUAAGCGCCCACCCCAUGUUCCUGGCACUGCUUUAAGGUUCCAGCCAGAGAUAUGCAAAAAGCUUGUAAUGAAACUGCAAGCCAAGUGA
Molecule: long non-coding RNA, 221 nt
Filed under: Phasianus colchicus (ring-necked pheasant)
Lineage: Eukaryota; Metazoa; Chordata; Aves; Galliformes; Phasianidae
Description: lncRNA (ENSPCLG00000007918.1)
Source: RNAcentral